AUGUGUCUGCUGUCACUGCUGCUGCAGUUCCUGCCGUCUGGGCCUGCAGGUUUCGACAACACUGGUACGAGUGGGCAUUUAGCUUCUGUUGGAGGAGGAACUGGCCCGUCUGCUGCCCCCAACACUCAAACCCAGCACACCCAAACUCAGACAGCCACCGGCUCUCGUUUUAGGGUGGUGAAACUAGACACUAACUCUGAGCCAUUCCGCAAAGGAAGAUGGACGUGCACAGAGUAUUACGAAAAGGAGCUUCCUCCUCCAACUACAUCUGAGGCACCAAAAGGUGUAGAAGUGGCUGUCGAGACUGAGGCAGGCAACGCUGGGAUUAAUCAGGGCAUAACUGCUGUACAGCCACCUCACACACUUCAGCCCUAUCAGUCGCCGAGCCAGGACUUCACUAGUCCACAAGCGAUGCAGAGUCCACCACAGGGACUUGCUCAAACCACUCCUCUGACCUAUGUUUCACCCCAAGAAGUUGCUGGUGGGGCCCACAUUCAGCAAGGUCCUUUCACUCUCCCUACAACAACACCACAGACCGGGGUAAAUCAGCCUCCCCCUGUAAUACCCCAGCAGCUGCCCUACACUGUGGAUCCCCACCAGGCUCAACCCCAGGGAGGUUACCCUGCACCUCAGUUCCAUUCAGGGGUCAUAGCCCCGGGAAGUGUCCGACAGCCAGACUUCAUCCAGCCCACUGCUCCCUUCCAGACCCAGGUCCAGCCUCCGCUGCCUCAAAGUACAGCAGGAAUCUCUAAUAUAUCACUUCCACAGCCACCGAUCAACAUUAUUCAGCUGCUGUCCCAUCACGGUCAGGUAGCCCCACCUGCCCAGGCAACAUUUGCAGGACAGCCACACCCCCUCCCAACUCAAAUUCACCCCACACAAGUCCAGCCCCCCUCCACUGCUACAGUCCCAGUAGUGCCCACCCAUGGGAGCCCCUACAUGCCUUUGACUGCAUUGCAAGCUGACCUCCAGCCUCUCCUCACCCUGGGUGCGACCCUCACCCAGGUCCCGGGAGGAGGGAGCUCCAUAAGAUCAUCCCAGCUAGGAGGAUGCCCAGCGGCUUCUGCUCCAGCACCAAGGCCUGCUGGCUCUUCCCCGGUUCGGGAUGACAACAGGUGGAGACGGGGAAGCAGAGGUCGGCGGUGCUGCCGGAACGCUGGCCCAUAUGGGGAUGUCGGCUGA
This 1182-nucleotide long non-coding RNA is filed under the name Cottoperca gobio. Its description in RNAcentral is "lncRNA (ENSCGOG00000000433.1)". Lineage: Eukaryota; Metazoa; Chordata; Actinopteri; Perciformes; Bovichtidae. The record is from RNAcentral.